CGAAGGGGCGUAGCGUUGCUCGGAAUUACUGGGCGUAAAGGGAGCGUAGGCGGAUAGUUCAGUCAGAGGUGAAAGCCCAGGGCUCAACCUUGGAACUGCCUUUGAUACUGGCUAUCUUGAGUUUGGGAGAGGUAUGUGGAACUCCGAGUGUAGAGGUGAAAUUCGUAGAUAUUCGGAAGAACACCAGUGGCGAAGGCGACAUACUGGCCCAAUACUGACGCUGAGGCUCGAAAGCGUGGGGAGCAAACAGGAUU
This 254-nucleotide ribosomal RNA is filed under the name uncultured bacterium. RNAcentral's name for it is "partial 16S ribosomal RNA". It matches the Rfam family "Bacterial small subunit ribosomal RNA", at positions 526 to 779 of the family's 1533-position model. The record is from RNAcentral.